Molecule: long non-coding RNA, 1243 nt
Filed under: Felis catus (domestic cat)
Lineage: Eukaryota; Metazoa; Chordata; Mammalia; Carnivora; Felidae
Description: lncRNA (ENSFCAG00000044385.2)
Source: RNAcentral
AUGGCUAGGAAAAAGGAAGGUAUUUCUAGUUAUGGAGCCAUGAAGAGAUUGGGCAUUGGAGACCAACCAAAGGCAGAUAACAAAUUGAAGAGCCUUUAUUCUUGGAAAGCUGCUAGAACUUCAGGUAAGAAUAGUAGGAAUACGUCUUCUCCACCCCCCCCCCCCAAACUUAACUUGGCUGCCAAGAAUAAUAGUUUCAUCAGCAUGGGGGACGAACAUGAAAACCAACAGCUUUGUUGCCAGAGGGGAUGAACUCAAUCUGGGUGUGUGUGUGUGUGUGGUGGGGGGUGGUGGUGAAAAUAUUUGGCUUUAUUGUUUAAAAGGGGUGGACAUGGCUGGGGACAAAAAAGGAAAGGUGCAGCUUUGCAAGCCCGACCGUAUGGUUCUGGUUGGGGUGAAUGGUGAGUGGUGGACCAGCCAGAAAUGUAAUGGGGAAAUCCUGGAGAUGAGAGACCCACAGAAAGGCUGAGAUAAUCUCACCAUAUGUUCUUGACUGAUUAGAAAACUCUCCAUGCUUGGAGGAGACCUGAGGGAGGCUGGUGAACAUUGAAAGCUGAGGGAGACUUGAGAAUUGGCUGUAACUUGAAAUACAUUUUGCCAGCAACAUAGAAAUUAACCGACAGAGGUGAAAGCUUUGUGGGAAUGAGGCAUUUGACCUCAAGCUCUGCCCAAAUCACUGGCUUACCACUAAGCUAUGCACAUAAAAGAGAGAUCUUUGGGAAAAUAGUCUAAAAACAAAAAUAAGAAUUAAAACACUGAGCAGAGACAUCAGUGAUUCCACACUUCAAGUACAAGUAAGUUACUAAAAAAAAUUAUUGAAAAAUAAUGACCCCACAACCUUAAGAAAAAUGAAGCAGAAUCAAGAAGUAAUGUCUUCUCUCUCUAUUUAUUAAAGAAACAGUGAGAAAAGAUACAAUGCAGGAAAAACACCAACCAUCCUUUCACGUCAGGCUGAAAGAAGCACAAUGAUUUUUUCUUUCAUUCCCCAAUUCCCAUAUUCCCACCCACGUCAGUAGAAAAAAAAAAAGAAUUGCUACAAUAUUUAUCUAAAAAUGUUGAUUUUUAAAAUGAAAUUGACUAGGCAUACAAGAAAAAGGAAAAUAUAAUCUACACUCAAUUUAAAAAAAAGGCAGUCAAUAGAAGUUGCUCAGGGUGAGCCCAGAUGUUGCUUUAUAGACCAAGACUUCAAAGCAGCUAUUGUAAAUAUGUUCAGAGAAUUAGAGGGAAUUAUGGGGUGCCCAGG